RNAcentral lists this transfer RNA (74 nucleotides) under Shimia marina. RNAcentral's name for it is "tRNA_Gly_CCC". It matches the Rfam family "tRNA". Rfam says of the family: Transfer RNA (tRNA) molecules are approximately 80 nucleotides in length. Their secondary structure includes four short double-helical elements and three loops (D, anti-codon, and T loops). Further hydrogen bonds mediate the characteristic L-shaped molecular structure. tRNAs have two regions of fundamental functional importance: the anti-codon, which is responsible for specific mRNA codon recognition, and the 3' end, to which the tRNAs corresponding amino acid is attached (by aminoacyl-tRNA synthetases). tRNAs cope with the degeneracy of the genetic code in two manners: having more than one tRNA (with a specific anti-codon) for a particular amino acid; and 'wobble' base-pairing, i.e. permitting non-standard base-pairing at the 3rd anti-codon position. RNAcentral also lists the same sequence under 1 other name. The record is from RNAcentral. Lineage: Bacteria; Pseudomonadati; Pseudomonadota; Alphaproteobacteria; Rhodobacterales; Roseobacteraceae.
GCGGGUAUGGUGAAAUGGUAUCAUGCGAGCUUCCCAAGCUUAAGGUGAGGGUUCGAUUCCCUCUACCCGCUCCA